Long non-coding RNA from Phyllostomus discolor (pale spear-nosed bat), 100 nucleotides. RefSeq lists it as uncharacterized. Lineage: Eukaryota; Metazoa; Chordata; Mammalia; Chiroptera; Phyllostomidae. The transcript is spliced from 3 exons. The record is from RefSeq and is a predicted model, not a curated record.
UGUCCUUCUUUGUCUCUCACUACAGCCUUUCUUUAAGGUCUGUUUUGUCGGAUAUAAGUGCUGCUACUCCAGCUUGUUUUUUCCUUUUAUUUACUUAAAA